This 253-nucleotide ribosomal RNA is filed under the name uncultured bacterium. Its description in RNAcentral is "partial 16S ribosomal RNA". It matches the Rfam family "Bacterial small subunit ribosomal RNA", at positions 524 to 776 of the family's 1533-position model. The record is from RNAcentral.
UACGAGGGGGGCAAAUGUUGUUCGGAAUCACUGGGCGUAAAGGGAGCGUAGGCGGGUUUUUAAGUAAGGUGUUUAAUCCCGGGGCCCAACCCCGGACCGGCACCUUAAACUGGGAAUCUUGAAUAGUGGAGAGGUCGGUGGAAUUGGGGGUGUAGCGGUGGAAUGCGUAGAGAUCCCCAAGAACACCAGUUGCGAAGGCGGCCGACUGGACACAUAUUGACGCUGAGGCUCGAAAGCAUGGGGAGCAAACAGG